GAUGAACGCUGGCGGCGUGCCUAAUACAUGCAAGUCGAGCGAACGGACGAGAAGCUUGCUUCUCUGAUGUUAGCGGCGGACGGGUGAGUAACACGUGGAUAACCUACCUAUAAGACUGGGAUAACUUCGGGAAACCGUAGCUAAUACCGGAUAAUAUUUUGAACCGCAUGGUUCAAAAGUGAAAGACGGUCUUGCUGUCACUUAUAGAUGGAUCCGCGCUGCAUUAGCUAGUUGGUAAGGUAACGGCUUACCAAGGCAACGAUGCAUAGCCGACCUGAGAGGGUGAUCGGCCACACUGGAACUGAGACACGGUCCAGACCCCAACGGGAGGCAGCAGUGGGGAAUCUUCCGCAAUGGGCGAAAGCCUGACGGAGCAACGCCGCGUGAGUGAUAAGGGUCUUCGGAUCGUAAAACUCUGUUAUUAGGGAAGAACAUAUGUGUAGGUAACUGUGCACAUCUUGACGGUACCAAAUCAGAAAGCCACGGCUAACUACGU
RNAcentral lists this ribosomal RNA (496 nucleotides) under uncultured bacterium. RNAcentral describes it as "partial 16S ribosomal RNA". It matches the Rfam family "Bacterial small subunit ribosomal RNA", at positions 28 to 506 of the family's 1533-position model. The record is from RNAcentral.